CUGGCCUAAAAAGCAUUCGCGCUGUGGUUUUCAAUGCACGGUUUAGGGAUGCAACGUCGCAGAGCAAUCUGCCCCUCGGGUGGCGGGACUUGAUAUAUUCCAGUAACGGUGCGGAGCCGUUCAGGCGAUGAUAGCGCGGUUAAACCAUAUCACGUACAGU
Molecule: small nucleolar RNA, 160 nt
Filed under: Drosophila melanogaster (fruit fly)
Lineage: Eukaryota; Metazoa; Arthropoda; Insecta; Diptera; Drosophilidae
Description: partial small nucleolar RNA snoR50
Source: RNAcentral